GAACAGAUGAAAGAAACGAUCAAGAACCAGGAAAAACUCUCCAAACUGCAGGCACAAAUGCACAUUGGUGGGAAAGGAACCGGUUGUAGAAAGAAGAUGGUUCAUAGAACACUCACAGCAGACGAUAAAAAACUGCAGUUCUCCUUAAAGAAAUUAGGGGUAAACGACAUCUCCGGUGUUGAAGAGGUGAACACGUUUACAAACCAAGGAACAGUGAUCCAUGUUAACACCACCAUCAGGCUUCUCUGGCAGCAAACGUCUUCCAGGCCACUCUGAGUCAAAGCAGCCGACAGACUUGCUGCCCCGCGUCUUUAACCAGCUUGGUGCAAGCAGUCUGACUAGUGUAAGGAGACUGGCGAUCUGCCCAAACACUCUGUGGAUGGAAAAGCACCACUUGCUCCUGGAGAGGAAGCUGAGGAUGACGUUCCCGAUCUGGCGGAGAAUUUUGAUGAGGCUUCGAAGAAUCGAGGCAAACUGA
RNAcentral lists this long non-coding RNA (478 nucleotides) under Mus musculus (house mouse). RNAcentral's name for it is "long non-coding RNA chr5:118502839-118503317". The record is from RNAcentral. Lineage: Eukaryota; Metazoa; Chordata; Mammalia; Rodentia; Muridae.